UACGGAGGGUGCAAGCGUUGCUCGGAAUCACUGGGCGUAAAGCGUGCGUAGGCGGGUUUCCAAGUCGGAUGUGAAAUCCCGGAGCUCAACUCCGGAACUGCACCCGAUACUGUUAACCUUGAGUGCUGGAGAGGAAAGCGGAAUUCCCGGAGUAGCGGUGAAAUGCGUAGAUAUCGGGAAGAACACCCGUGGCGAAAGCGGCUUUCUGGACAGACACUGACGCUGAGGCACGAAAGCGUGGGGAGCAAACAGG
RNAcentral lists this ribosomal RNA (253 nucleotides) under uncultured bacterium. RNAcentral's name for it is "partial 16S ribosomal RNA". It matches the Rfam family "Bacterial small subunit ribosomal RNA", at positions 524 to 776 of the family's 1533-position model. The record is from RNAcentral.